GACGAACGCUGGCGGCGUGCUUAACACAUGCAAGUCGAACGAAGAGUGAUGGAAGCUUGCUUCUAUCAAUCUUAGUGGCGAACGGGUGAGUAACGCGUAAUCAACCUGCCCUUCAGAGGGGGACAACAGUUGGAAACGACUGCUAAUACCGCAUACGAUCUAACCUCGGCAUCGAGGAUAGAUGAAAGGUGGCCUCUACAUGUAAGCUAUCACUGAAGGAGGGGAUUGCGUCUGAUUAGCUAGUUGGAGGGGUAACGGCCCACCAAGGCGAUGAUCAGUAGCCGGUCUGAGAGGAUGAACGGCCACAUUGGGACUGAGACACGGCCCAGACUCCUACGGGAGGCAGCAGUGGGGAAUCUUCCGCAAUGGACGAAAGUCUGACGGAGCAACGCCGCGUGAGUGAUGACGGCCUUCGGGUUGUAAAGCUCUGUUAAUCGGGACGAAAGGCCUUCUUGCGAAUAGUGAGAAGGAUUGACGGUACCGGAAUAGAAAGCCACGGCUAACUACGUG
Molecule: ribosomal RNA, 510 nt
Filed under: uncultured bacterium
Lineage: Bacteria
Description: partial 16S ribosomal RNA
Rfam family: Bacterial small subunit ribosomal RNA
Source: RNAcentral